RNAcentral lists this ribosomal RNA (492 nucleotides) under uncultured bacterium. Its description in RNAcentral is "partial 16S ribosomal RNA". It matches the Rfam family "Bacterial small subunit ribosomal RNA", at positions 28 to 507 of the family's 1533-position model. The record is from RNAcentral.
GGUGAACGCUGGCGGUAGGCCUAACACAUGCAAGUCGAACGGCAGCACGGUAAGAGCUUGCUCUUACGGGUGGCGAGUGGCGGACGGGUGAGGAAUACAUCGGAAUCUACUUUUUCGUGGGGGAUAACGUAGGGAAACUUACGCUAAUACCGCAUACGACCUACGGGUGAAAGCAGGGGAUCUUCGGACCUUGCGCGAUUGAAUGAGCCGAUGUCGGAUUAGCUAGUUGGCGGGGUAAAGGCCCACCAAGGCGACGAUCCGUAGCUGGUCUGAGAGGAUGAUCAGCCACACUGGAACUGAGACACGGUCCAGACUCCUACGGGAGGCAGCAGUGGGGAAUAUUGGACAAUGGGCGCAAGCCUGAUCCAGCCAUACCGCGUGGGUGAAGAAGGCCUUCGGGUUGUAAAGCCCUUUUGUUGGGAAAGAAAAGCAGCAGGUUAAUACCCCGCUGUUCUGACGGUACCCAAAGAAUAAGCACCGGCUAACUUCGUG